RNAcentral lists this small nuclear RNA (19 nucleotides) under Arabidopsis thaliana (thale cress). RNAcentral describes it as "snRNA_02607". Lineage: Eukaryota; Viridiplantae; Streptophyta; Magnoliopsida; Brassicales; Brassicaceae. The record is from RNAcentral.
UGUAGAAGAAAAAUAGAAC